UAGGGGUACGGAACAACCCAGGGAAACUUGAGCUAAUACCGUAUACGUCCGUGAGGAGAAAGAUUUAUCGCCCUUAGACGGGCCCGCGUCGGAUUAGCUAGUUGGUGGGGUAACGGCCUACCAAGGCGACGAUCCGUAGCUGAUCUUAGAGGAUGAUCAGCCACACUGGGACUGAGACACGGCCCAGACUCCUACGGGAGGCAGCAGUGGGGAAUCUUGGACAAUGGGCGCAAGCCUGAUCCAGCCAUGCCGCGUGAGUGAAGAAGGUCUUCGGAUUGUAAAGCUCUUUUGCCAGGGACGAUAAUGACGGUACCUGGAGAAUAAGCCACGGCUAAUUCCGUGCCAGCAGCCGCGGUAAUACGGGAGUGGCAAGCGUUAUCCGGAAUUAUUGGGCGUAAAGCGUCCGCAGGCGGCCUCGUAAGUCUGUCGUUAAAGCGUGGAGCUUAACUCCAUUAAGGCGAUGGAAACUGUGAGGCUUGAGUGUGGUAGGGGCAGAGGGAAUUCCCGGUGUAGCGGUGAAAUGCGUAGAUAUCGGGAAGAACACCAGUGGCGAAGGCGCUCUGCUGGGCCAUAACUGACGCUCAUGGACGAAAGCCAGGGGAGCGAAAGGGAUUAGAUACCCCUGUAGUCCUGGCCGUAAACGAUGAACACUAGGUGUCGGGGGAAUCGACCCCCUCGGUGUCGUAGCCAACGCGUUAAGUGUUCCGCCUGGGGAGUACGCACGCAAGUGUGAAACUCAAAGGAAUUGACGGGGGCCCGCACAAGCGGUGGAGUAUGUGGUUUAAUUCGAUGCAACGCGA
RNAcentral lists this ribosomal RNA (800 nucleotides) under uncultured bacterium. Its description in RNAcentral is "bacterial SSU rRNA". It matches the Rfam family "Bacterial small subunit ribosomal RNA", at positions 131 to 964 of the family's 1533-position model. The record is from RNAcentral.